RNAcentral lists this microRNA precursor (202 nucleotides) under Oryza glumipatula. RNAcentral describes it as "MIR812 microRNA precursor family". It matches the Rfam family "MIR812 microRNA precursor family". The record is from Rfam by way of RNAcentral. Lineage: Eukaryota; Viridiplantae; Streptophyta; Magnoliopsida; Poales; Poaceae.
UUUAAGUGCAACCAUAAGUUUUCGUGCCUAAUUUUAAUAGUCCGUCUUAUUUGAAUUUUUUUUAUAAUUAGUAUUUUUGUUGUUAUGAGAUGAUAAAACAUGAAUAGUACUUUAUGUGUGACUUAUGUUUUUAUUUUUUUAAAAAAAAUUAAAUAAGACGGACGAUCAAAGUUUAGCACGGAAAAACAUGGCUGCACUUAAA